UACGUAGGGUGCGAGCGUUGUCCGGAAUUAUUGGGCGUAAAGGGCUCGUAGGCGGUUUGUCGCGUCGGGAGUGAAAUCCACUGGCUUAACUGGUGGCUUGCUUUCGAUACGGGCAGACUGGAGGUAUGCAGGGGAGAACGGAAUUCCUGGUGUAGCGGUGAAAUGCGGCAGAAUAUCAGGAGGAACACCGGUGGCGAAGGCGGUUCUCUGGGCAUGACCU
RNAcentral lists this ribosomal RNA (220 nucleotides) under uncultured bacterium. RNAcentral describes it as "partial 16S ribosomal RNA". It matches the Rfam family "Bacterial small subunit ribosomal RNA", at positions 524 to 741 of the family's 1533-position model. The record is from RNAcentral.